GCGACGGUGAGAGUUCCUUCAUCUCACUUGUAACGAGAAUACGCAGGUUCGAAUCCUGCCCGUCCCA
This 67-nucleotide transfer RNA is filed under the name Haloarcula marismortui ATCC 33799. Its description in RNAcentral is "Haloarcula californiae ATCC 33799 tRNA-OTHER". It matches the Rfam family "tRNA". From Rfam's summary of the family: Transfer RNA (tRNA) molecules are approximately 80 nucleotides in length. The record is from RNAcentral. Lineage: Archaea; Methanobacteriati; Methanobacteriota; Halobacteria; Halobacteriales; Haloarculaceae.